This is a non-coding RNA of Potamilus streckersoni, 73 nucleotides long. NCBI's taxonomy places the organism in Eukaryota, Metazoa, Mollusca, Bivalvia, Unionida, Unionidae. The record is from the annotation of a GenBank genome assembly.
GCUUUGGUGGCCUAGUAGUUAGAGCGUCCGCUUUGGAUGCGGGAGGUCGUGGGAUAUAUCCCCAGUCGAGCCA